GUGAGACGGAUAGUGUGACCCUCUUAAUGGAUUGAGGGCGAAGCGAAGCGGCUGGUUACCAGGUAAAUCCGGUAACCUUAAGGCUAGAGCGUGACAGGUAAGCGAAAUCUAAGGAAAGUAGCGAAGCACAUGAUGACGGCUUCCAGGAAAAGCUUCUGGCAAUGCAUAUGCGGCCCGUACCAAAACCGACACAGGUGGGCAGGGAGAGAAUCCCGAGGUGAGCGAGAGAACUGUUGCCAAGGAACUCGGCAAAAUGACUCCGUAAGUUAGCGAGAAGGAGUGCUUAAGCAAUUAAGCCGCAGUGAAGAGGCCCAAGCGACUGUUUAACUAAAACACAGCUCUCUGCGAAGUCGCAAGACGAAGUAUAGGGGGUGACACCUGCCCGGUGCUGGAAGGUUAAGAGGACCUGUUAAGAGCGAUCUGAAGCAGUGGUCCGAAGCCCCAGUGAACGGCGGCCGUAACAAUAACGGUCCUAAGGUAGCGAAAUUCCUUGUCAGGUAAGUUCUGACCCGCACGAAAGGUGUAACGAUUUGGGCGCUGUCUCGGCAGCAGACUCGGUGAAAUCUUAGUACCUGUGAAAAUGCAGGUUACCCGCAACUAGACGGAAAGACCCCAUGGAGCUCUACUGCAGCCUGAUAUUGAAUUCUGGUCAUACAUGUACAGGAUAGGUGGGAGACAAAGAGACGUGCACGCCAGUGUACGAGGAGUCGACGCUGGGAUACCACUCUUGUGUGACCGGGGUUCUAACCUGGUAUCGAGAACAGGUACGGGGAGAGUGUCAGGUGAGCAGUUUGACUGGGGCGGUCGCCUCCCAAAGAGUAACGGAGGCGCCCAAAGGUACGCUCAGAUUGGAUGGAAACCAAUCGACGAGUGCAAUUGCAGAAGCGUGCUUGACUGUGAGACAAACAAGUCGAACAGGGACGAAAGUCGGGAAUAGUGAUCCGGCGGUGCCGAAUGGAAGGGCCGUCGCUCAACGGAUAAAAGCUACCCUGGGGAUAACAGGCUGAUCUCGCCCAAGAGUUCACAUCGACGGCGAGGUUUGGCACCUCGAUGUCGGCUCAUCGCAUCCUGGAGCUGGAUUCGGUUCCAAGGGUUGGGCUGUCCGCCCAUUAAAGCGGUACGCGAGCUGGGUUCAGAACGUCGUGAGACAGUUCGGUCCCUAUCUGUUGUGGGCGAAGGAGAUCUGCGGAGAGCUGUCCUCAGUACGAGAGGACCGGGAUGGACCUACCGCUGGUGCACCGGUUGUUCCGCCAGGGGCAUAGCCGGGUAGCUAAGUAGGGAAAGGAUAAGCGCUGAAAGCAUCUAAGCACGAAGCCUACUCCAAGAUGAGAUCUCCCAUUCGCAAGAAGUAAGACCCCUUAAAGACGAUAAGGUAGAUAGGCCAGGGAUGGAAGUGCAGUGAUGUACGGAGUUGACUGGUACUAAUCGGUCGAGGACUUAACCAA
RNAcentral lists this ribosomal RNA (1445 nucleotides) under metagenome. Its description in RNAcentral is "bacterial LSU rRNA". It matches the Rfam family "Bacterial large subunit ribosomal RNA", at positions 1473 to 2925 of the family's 2925-position model. The record is from RNAcentral.